GUUUAACCUCACUAAUACACAGAUGGAGCACGCCACUUCACUUCCGCGUGAGAGAGAAAAACGGGAAAAAAGAGAGAGGAAAAACCGUCGUUGAAGCUCUUUCCGGCCGCGUUUCUCCUGAAAAAACCAUUGGUCAGGUUCUAUUGUGAUGCUUGGAAAGAGUGAAGCUUCAGCUUUCAUGUCUGACGAAGCUGAUGAGCGAUCCAACUGAUGACGAGCACCCAGUCCACCUUCGGUGCUUCAAGCAGAACUUUUAAUUCCGCCACACCACUUAACGGAUUAAGUGGUAGGAUUUGUGUCAGUCCAACUGACCGGCACCAACGAAAGCUUUCCUUGGAUAUCCUUGAAUCUUGACUUUUGACUUUGACUUUUGGAUCCAAACCACCGAGGAACAUUCCCAUUUGGACAUUUAUUUAUUUUAUUUUAUUUCUUAGUAUAUGGGCCCAAGGUUGUAAUGUUAUUGUGUUUUGUAUUGUUAAGAUCUUUGUGGAACUAAAGAGUUUCAAAUCAUUCUGCCUCUGUGUCCAGUGGUUGUUGUUUCACUCGG
Long non-coding RNA from Salarias fasciatus (jewelled blenny), 547 nucleotides. RefSeq lists it as uncharacterized. The transcript has 3 exons. Lineage: Eukaryota; Metazoa; Chordata; Actinopteri; Blenniiformes; Blenniidae. The record is from RefSeq and is a predicted model, not a curated record.